AUCUUUCUGACAUGCAAUCCAACCGGGCCAGACUGCAGGCAGCUCCUCCUCACAUUAUUUAACACUGAGGAGUGCAGGAGAGUAACAUAGGCAGCUCUCUGCUGGCUAGAAGCCAAUGCACCAGAAGAUGCAGUGAAUGCUCAGUUGCAGCUGUUGUGUCUUGGAUCCACCACAGUUGGCUGAAACCGGCAGCUCAGGACAAGUGAACCAGCCAGCAGGACCCAGACCAUUUGACUCGGCUGAUCUUGUGACAAGACUGAGUUGCUGCUGAGUACAACAGCCCUGCUCUG
Molecule: long non-coding RNA, 290 nt
Filed under: Homo sapiens (human)
Lineage: Eukaryota; Metazoa; Chordata; Mammalia; Primates; Hominidae
Description: HSALNT0375722
Source: RNAcentral